Molecule: ribosomal RNA, 241 nt
Filed under: uncultured Staphylococcus sp.
Lineage: Bacteria; Bacillati; Bacillota; Bacilli; Caryophanales; Staphylococcaceae
Description: partial 16S ribosomal RNA
Rfam family: Bacterial small subunit ribosomal RNA
Source: RNAcentral
CGGACGGGUGAGUAACACGUGGAUAACCUACCUAUAAGACUGGGAUAACUUCGGGAAACCGGAGCUAAUACCGGAUAAUAUUUUGAACCGCAUGGUUCAAAAGUGAAAGACGGUCUUGCUGUCACUUAUAGAUGGAUCCGCGCUGCAUUAGCUAGUUGGUAAGGUAACGGCUUACCAAGGCAACGAUGCAUAGCCGACCUGAGAGGGUGAUCGGCCACACUGGAACUGAGACACGGCCCAG